This 597-nucleotide long non-coding RNA is filed under the name Dermacentor andersoni. RNAcentral's name for it is "uncharacterized LOC126525298". The record is from RNAcentral. Lineage: Eukaryota; Metazoa; Arthropoda; Arachnida; Ixodida; Ixodidae.
UCUCGCGCUGUGCGACAUAAUUUUAAACGUGUGAUUAGUUUUGUGCGCGGUGUAGAAAAAGGUGUGGCCCGUGCUUUGUGUAUUACUCGUGGUCCACUUCAAAGCAAAGCGUUCGUACGCACUGGAAGAUGGAUCCACGGACGCUGAGACGAGCAGUUGCAACGUGCCCUGUGUCGGCGGUCGGUAGUACUGCCAUAAUGGAAAUUUUCAGGCAAUGUUGCCGCCUGAAAGCCGAGUUUGGUUUCAAGCCAACCUGGACAACUGCUGUAUGAGGCGCUGUUUCGCAGGAGGAUCAGUGGGAAGGCGUCAGGUCAUGCAGAUGAUAGCAUCAAUUUCACAAUGCCCAGCCUUGGUGCCCUCCAUUAAGAGCAAGCCACUUGCGUUCGCCUUCAGGCAGAUGGUUGAUGUCUUCUAGGAAGCAGUUGGGAAGACUACAUUGAUGCAAGAUUCCAGCAAUGCCAUGCGCUGCAUUUAUUGGUCAAGUUGCUCAGAGAAUGGAGUCCCUGCACCUCGUGGUGAAACGUGAACAUUUUCUUUCUUUUGGAAAGCUAAACGUCAUUUGCUGUAUCAAUUGCAUUCUUGCAGCUCAGAUGUGUA